UUGAUCCUGGCUCAGGAUGAACGCUGGCGGUCUGCUUAACACAUGCAAGUCGAACGCAACCUUCGGGUUGAGUGGCGGACGGGUGAGUAACGCGUGAGAAUCUGCCUUGGGGUCGGGGACAACCACUGGAAACGGUGGCUAAUACCGGAUAAGCCUUUGGGUAAAAAAUUUAUUGCCCCAAGAGGAGCUCGCGUCUGAUUAGCCAGUUGGUGAGGUAAAAGCUCACCAAGGCAGCGAUCAGUAGCUGGUCUGAGAGGACGAUCAGCCACACUGGGACUGAGACACGGCCCAGACUCCUACGGGAGGCAGCAGUGGGGAAUUUUCCGCAAUGGGCGAAAGCCUGACGGAGCAAGACCGCGUGAGGGAGGAAGGCUCUUGGGUUGUAAACCUCUUUUCUCAGGGAAGAAGCUCUGACGGUACCUGAGGAAUCAGCCUCGGCUAACUCCGUGCCAGCAGCCGCGGUAAUACGGAGGAGGCAAGCGUUAUCCGGAAUUAUUGGGCGUAAAGCGUCCGCAGGUGGCGAUUCAAGUCUGCUGUCAAAGCACGGGGCUUAACUCCGUUAAGGCAGUGGAAACUGAAUAGCUAGAGUGCCGUAGGGGUAGAGGGAAUUCCCGGUGUAGCGGUGAAAUGCGUAGAGAUCGGGAAGAACAUCGGUGGCGAAAGCGCUCUACUGGACGGCAACUGACACUCAGGGACGAAAGCUAGGGGAGCGAAUGGGAUUAGAUACCCCAGUAGUCCUAGCUGUAAACGAUGGAUACUAGGUGUAGCUUGUAUCGACCCGAGCUGUGCCGAAGCUAACGCGUUAAGUAUCCCGCCUGGGGAGUACGCACGCAAGUGUGAAACUCAAAGGAAUUGACGGGGGCCCGCACGAGCGGUGGAGUAUGUGGUUUAAUUCGAUGCAACGCGAAGAACCUUACCAGG
Molecule: ribosomal RNA, 921 nt
Filed under: uncultured organism
Description: bacterial SSU rRNA
Rfam family: Bacterial small subunit ribosomal RNA
Source: RNAcentral